This is a non-coding RNA of Otolemur garnettii (small-eared galago), 104 nucleotides long. NCBI's taxonomy places the organism in Eukaryota, Metazoa, Chordata, Mammalia, Primates, Galagidae. The record is from Rfam.
AAAUUAUUAGUAGCACAUAUACUAAAAUUGGAAUGAUACUAAAGAGAUUAGCAUGACCCCUGUGUAAAGAUGACAUGCAAAUUUGUGAAGCAUUCCAUAUUUUU